CCUACGGGAGGCAGCAGUAGGGAAUAUUGCUCAAUGGGGGAAACCCUGAAGCAGCAACGCCGCGUGGAGGAUGAAGGUUUUCGGAUUGUAAACCCCUUUUUUUAGAGAAGAUAAUGACGGUACCUAACGAAUAAGCACCGGCUAACUCCGUGCCAGCAGCCGCGGUAAUACGGAGGGUGCAAGCGUUACUCGGAAUCACUGGGCGUAAAGCGCGCGUAGGCGGGAUAGCAAGUCAGAUGUGAAAUCCUAUGGCUUAACCAUAGAACUGCAUUUGAAACUGUUAUUCUAGAGUAUGGGAGAGGUAGGCGGAAUGCUUGGUGUAGGGGUAAAAUCCGUAGAGAUCAAGAGGAAUACUCAUUGCGAAGGCGACCUGCUAGAACAUAACUGACGCUGAUGCGCGAAAGCGUGGGGAGCAAACAGGAUUAGAUACCCUAGUAGUC
This 440-nucleotide ribosomal RNA is filed under the name uncultured bacterium. RNAcentral describes it as "partial 16S ribosomal RNA". It matches the Rfam family "Bacterial small subunit ribosomal RNA", at positions 338 to 795 of the family's 1533-position model. The record is from RNAcentral.